This is a long non-coding RNA of Oryzias latipes (Japanese medaka), 852 nucleotides long. RefSeq lists it as uncharacterized. NCBI's taxonomy places the organism in Eukaryota, Metazoa, Chordata, Actinopteri, Beloniformes, Adrianichthyidae. The record is from RefSeq and is a predicted model, not a curated record.
UGCACUAGAAAUUUCCCAGAAUUCUCUACGAAAAACCAGUGUGGAUCGAUGCUCACUCGAUCGGCGAAUAUUGCCCAGAAUGCACUGCAUUCAUACCAGAAUUCAUUGCGUGUCCCACAAUACACUGCGCUUGAAUUAUUCGAAGAUGGCGGACGGUUGCGCAAGAAAGAGGACUUAAAAAUGGACUGACGAGGAUAAGGAAAAUCUGUUCCAUCUGUGGAUGGCCUGUUUGUUAUCAGGCAAGCUCGUGCCGGAUGGGAAGUCAUGUGUGUCACAGUUGGAGCUGAAAGGAAAGCAGAGAUUUGUCCUCGCAGACGGACGCCACUUUACCCGUCCUACUGGUUCCUGCUGUGGCUCAACAUUUGUGGCUCCAAGCAGUCCCCUUCGCUGAUGCCUGAUUGUGCAGAACUGAACUGCAGGCAAUGAUUUUCAUUGCAAAGGUUGGUUUUACUUCCAGUGCCCCCAGAAAUAUUGCUCUCCUCCUCAUCUUCAUAAUGCCAAAUCCUCUCUCCACCACAGAGCAUGCCUUGGCGUGGUGCUGGUUGGAACGGGCCUGAACCACAUUCCUCAUGGGUCGCUCACAGUGGACCGUGGCAUGUCAAAGGCUCUGGGUACCACACCGUAAGAUGUGCCACACGCCAGCCAGGAAAGAAACACCAGGACCUCAGUCUCCUGUACCCCCCCCCAGAGUGUGAGGAACCCGAAGCUGCUCCACCAGAUGCUCAAUGGUCCUGCGGGUCAACCGAUCUGCGGUUCUGCCGGUCUGGUCUUGUGUCGGACUGACCGUCAGCGUGAAGGGCCACGACAGACACCUUUAUGUUGGCAAAGCAGUAGAGACGUGGAAGACCCUGU